GUAUUUUUUUGCUAUACAAAAUGUUAAUAUAAAUAUUUGCUAUAAAUCGAAUUUAUGCAUAUUUGUGGAGUAAGAUUCACGGAAUUUUGUUUUUGAAGAUAUAUGAAAAGAUUGUGUAGAGAUUUUUAGAAACAAAUUAGGCAAGAUAUCGUUUGGUUAAUAUCUUUUUAAAUUUUGUAAAACUAAAUAAUAAAUGUGAGUGGCAGCCAUUAUAAAUAAGUCCCAACUCCACGAUUUAUUUCACAAAAUGGCUGCAAAAAUGUAUAUGUAGAUAUAUUGACAACAACGGAUCCAUAAACAUUUUCUUAGUAUAU
This 314-nucleotide small RNA is filed under the name Arabidopsis thaliana (thale cress). RNAcentral describes it as "ATSL084730". Lineage: Eukaryota; Viridiplantae; Streptophyta; Magnoliopsida; Brassicales; Brassicaceae. The record is from RNAcentral.